This 1438-nucleotide ribosomal RNA is filed under the name uncultured organism. Its description in RNAcentral is "SSU rRNA". It matches the Rfam family "Bacterial small subunit ribosomal RNA". The record is from RNAcentral.
GGCUCAGGAUGAACGCUAGCUACAGGCUUAACACAUGCAAGUCGAGGGGCAGCAUCAUCAAAGCUUGCUUUGAUGGAUGGCGACCGGCGCACGGGUGAGUAACACGUAUCCAACCUGCCGACAACACUGGGAUAGCCUUUCGAAAGAAAGAUUAAUACCGGAUGGCAUAGUUUUCCCGCAUGGGAUAAUUAUUAAAGAAUUUCGGUUGUCGAUGGGGAUGCGUUCCAUUAGGCAGUUGGCGGGGUAACGGCCCACCAAACCUACGAUGGAUAGGGGUUCUGAGAGGAAGGUCCCCCACAUUGGAACUGAGACACGGUCCAAACUCCUACGGGAGGCAGCAGUGAGGAAUAUUGGUCAAUGGACGAGAGUCUGAACCAGCCAAGUAGCGUGAAGGAUGACUGCCCUAUGGGUUGUAAACUUCUUUUAUACGGGAAUAAAGUGAGCCACGUGUGGCUUUUUGUAUGUACCGUAUGAAUAAGGAUCGGCUAACUCCGUGCCAGCAGCCGCGGUAAUACGGAGGAUCCGAGCGUUAUCCGGAUUUAUUGGGUUUAAAGGGAGCGUAGGCGGGUUGUUAAGUCAGUUGUGAAAGUUUGCGGCUCAACCGUAAAAUUGCAGUUGAUACUGGCGACCUUGAGUGCAACAGAGGUAGGCGGAAUUCGUGGUGUAGCGGUGAAAUGCUUAGAUAUCACGAAGAACUCCGAUUGCGAAGGCAGCUUACUGGAUUGUAACUGACGCUGAUGCUCGAAAGUGUGGGUAUCAAACAGGAUUAGAUACCCUGGUAGUCCACACAGUAAACGAUGAAUACUCGCUGUUGGCGAUAUACAGUCAGCGGCCAAGCGAAAGCAUUAAGUAUUCCACCUGGGGAGUACGCCGGCAACGGUGAAACUCAAAGGAAUUGACGGGGGCCCGCACAAGCGGAGGAACAUGUGGUUUAAUUCGAUGAUACGCGAGGAACCUUACCCGGGCUUAAAUUGCAACUGACUGAACCGGAAACGGUUCUUUCUUCGGACAGUUGUGAAGGUGCUGCAUGGUUGUCGUCAGCUCGUGCCGUGAGGUGUCGGCUUAAGUGCCAUAACGAGCGCAACCCUUACGGGUAGUUACCAUCAGGUUAUGCUGGGGACUCUACCCGGACUGCCGUCGUAAGAUGUGAGGAAGGUGGGGAUGACGUCAAAUCAGCACGGCCCUUACGUCCGGGGCUACACACGUGUUACAAUGGGGGGUACAGAAGGCAGCUACACGGCGACGUGGUGCUAAUCCCGAAAGCCUCUCUCAGUUCGGAUUGGAGUCUGCAACCCGACUCCAUGAAGCUGGAUUCGCUAGUAAUCGCGCAUCAGCCACGGCGCGGUGAAUACGUUCCCGGGCCUUGUACACACCGCCCGUCAAGCCAUGAAAGCCGGGGGUACCUGAAGUACGUAACCGCGAGGAGCGUCCUAGGGUA